CCAAUAGCGUAUAUUAAAGUUGUUGCAGUUAAAAAGCUCGUAGUUGAAUUUCGGGACCAAUUUGUUGGUCGUGCCUCGGUACGUACUGGUAUUAUUGGUUUCUCCCUUCUGAAGAACCUUGAUGUCAUUAAUUUGGUGUCUUGGGGAAUCAGGACUGUUACUUUGAAAAAAUGAGAGUGUUUAAAGCAGGCAUACGCUUGAAUACAUUAGCAUGGAAUAAUGAAAUAGGACGUUUGAUUCUAUUUUGUUGGUUUCUAGGAUCGACGUAAUGAUUAAUAGGGAUAGUUGGGGGCAUUAGUAUUCAAUUGUCAGAGGUGAAAUUCUUGGAUUUAUUGAAGACUAACUACUGCGAAAGCAUUUGCCAAGGAUGUUUUCAUUAAUCAAGAACGAAAGUUAGGGGAUCGAAGACGAUCAGAUACCGUCGUAGUCUUAACCAUAAACUAUGCCGACUAGGGAUCGGAUGAUGUUAAUUUUUUAAUGACUCAUUCGGCGCCUUACG
RNAcentral lists this ribosomal RNA (499 nucleotides) under uncultured Glomeromycotina. Its description in RNAcentral is "partial small subunit ribosomal RNA". It matches the Rfam family "Eukaryotic small subunit ribosomal RNA", at positions 591 to 1092 of the family's 1831-position model. Lineage: Eukaryota; Fungi; Glomeromycota. The record is from RNAcentral.